Molecule: ribosomal RNA, 505 nt
Filed under: uncultured bacterium
Lineage: Bacteria
Description: partial 16S ribosomal RNA
Rfam family: Bacterial small subunit ribosomal RNA
Source: RNAcentral
GACGAACGCUGGCGGCGUGCCUAAUACAUGCAAGUAGAACGCACAGUUUAUACCGUAGCUUGCUACACCAUAGACUGUGAGUCGCGAACGGGUGAGUAACGCGUAGGUAACCUGCCUGGUAGCGGGGGAUAACUAUUGGAAACGAUAGCUAAUACCGCAUAAUAUUAAUUAUUGCAUGAUAAUUAAUUGAAAGGUGCAAUUGCACCACUACCAGAUGGACCUGCGUUGUAUUAGCUAGUAGGUGAGGUAACGGCUCACCUAGGCGACGAUACAUAGCCGAACUGAGAGGGUGAUCGGCCACACUGGGACUGAGACACGGCCCAGACUCCUACGGGAGGCAGCAGUAGGGAAUCUUCGGCAAUGGACGAAAGUCUGACCGAGCAACGCCGCGUGAGUGAAGAAGGGUUUCGGAUCGUAAAGCUCUGUUGUAAGAGAAGAACGGGUGUGAGAGUGGAAAGUUCACACUGUGACGGUAUCUUACCAGAAAGGGACGGCUAACUACGUG